AUAAAUAAGAAGGAUAAGGGCGGAG
Molecule: transfer RNA, 25 nt
Filed under: Salacia beddomei
Lineage: Eukaryota; Viridiplantae; Streptophyta; Magnoliopsida; Celastrales; Celastraceae
Description: partial tRNA-His
Source: RNAcentral